CAGUCGAGCGACGCAUACCGGAGGGGUAACCCACUGGUAUGACGGAGCGGCGAACGGGUGAGUAACACGUGAGUAACCUGCCCCACAGACCGGGACAGCCCAGGGAAACCUGGAUUAAUACCGGAUACCCUCGAAGGAUCGCAUGAUCUUUCGAGGAAAUGCCUUUGUGCUGUGGGAUGGGCUCGCGACUUAUCAGCUAGUUGGUGGGGUAACGGCCUACCAAGGCGUCGACGAGUAGCUGGUCUGAGAGGACGAUCAGCCACACUGGGACUGAGACACGGCCCAGACUCCUACGGGAGGCAGCAGCAGGGAAUCUUGCGCAAUGGGCGAAAGCCUGACGCAGCAACGCCGCGUGGGGGAUGAAGGCCUUCGGGUUGUAAACCCCUUUCAGGAGGGAAGAAAUUGACGGUACCUCCAAAAGAAGCACCGGCCAACUACGUGCCAGCAGCCGCGGUAAUACGUAGGGUGCGAGCGUUAUCCGGAAUCAUUGGGCGUAAAGAGCUCGUAGGCGGUUCAGUAAGUCGGCUGUGAAAUUUCGAGGCUCAACCUCGAAACUGCAGUCGAAACUGCUGUGACUCGAGUCCGGUAGAGGAGAAUGGAAUUCCCGGUGUAGCG
This 615-nucleotide ribosomal RNA is filed under the name uncultured bacterium. RNAcentral describes it as "bacterial SSU rRNA". It matches the Rfam family "Bacterial small subunit ribosomal RNA", at positions 59 to 680 of the family's 1533-position model. The record is from RNAcentral.